RNAcentral lists this ribosomal RNA (618 nucleotides) under uncultured bacterium. RNAcentral describes it as "bacterial SSU rRNA". It matches the Rfam family "Bacterial small subunit ribosomal RNA", at positions 169 to 803 of the family's 1533-position model. The record is from RNAcentral.
CCGCAUAAGACCACAGUGUCGCAUGGCACAGGGGUCAAAGGAUUUAUCCGCUGAAAGAUGGGCUCGCGUCCGAUUAGCUAGAUGGUGAGGUAACGGCCCACCAUGGCGACGAUCGGUAGCCGGACUGAGAGGUUGAACGGCCACAUUGGGACUGAGACACGGCCCAGACUCCUACGGGAGGCAGCAGUGGGGAAUAUUGCACAAUGGGGGAAACCCUGAUGCAGCGACGCCGCGUGGAGGAAGAAGGUCUUCGGAUUGUAAACUCCUGUCCCAGGGGACGAUAAUGACGGUACCCUGGGAGGAAGCACCGGCUAACUACGUGCCAGCAGCCGCGGUAAAACGUAGGGUGCAAGCGUUGUCCGGAAUUACUGGGUGUAAAGGGAGCGCAGGCGGAUUGGCAAGUUGGGAGUGAAAUCUAUGGGCUCAACCCAUAAAUUGCUUUCAAAACUGUCAGUCUUGAGUGGUGUAGAGGUAGGCGGAAUUCCCGGUGUAGCGGUGGAAUGCGUAGAUAUCGGGAGGAACACCAGUGGCGAAGGCGGCCUACUGGGCACUAACUGACGCUGAGGCUCGAAAGCAUGGGUAGCAAACAGGAUUAGAUACCCUGGUAGUCCAUGCCGU